Molecule: non-coding RNA, 183 nt
Organism: Brassica napus (rape)
Lineage: Eukaryota; Viridiplantae; Streptophyta; Magnoliopsida; Brassicales; Brassicaceae
Source: Rfam
AUAAAGAGAGCAUAUUAAGAUAGCCAAGGAGACUUCCUGCCUGAUACAUAAACCUCAAGAUUUAAUCAUCUUUUUAACAAACUGUUUUUAGAAUGUGGCUAGAAAAACCCAGACGAUUGAAUCAUUGAGAUGAAUUAAGCGCAGGCAAGUCAUCCUUGGCUACUAUAUAUCAGACUCUCUUCU